GGACCAAGAUCGAGUUGCCAAGUCACGGGAAACUCCUACGAAAACCCUAAACAAUCAGAUCCGAAACGAAACAGAAAAAUUAAAAGAUUAGAACUUUGAAUUUUCAGAUUUGAAAUAAAAUCCCCAAAUCAGCAAAGAAUCAAAUUGAGAAUAGAAAUAAGUGUUAGGGUUCUUGAAACCCUCAAGGAGAUUGUGAUUCUGCCCAAUUGAACACCAAGAUAGUUUUCCCCAAAUUUCGACAAUCUAAUUUCACCCAAAAAGAGUAUGGAAAAACCCUAGAAAUUGGGAAUUUUUGGGCUGAUUCCUUAAG
This 310-nucleotide long non-coding RNA is filed under the name Gossypium barbadense (sea-island cotton). Its description in RNAcentral is "long non-coding RNA (GBAR_LNC021603)". Lineage: Eukaryota; Viridiplantae; Streptophyta; Magnoliopsida; Malvales; Malvaceae. The record is from RNAcentral.